RNAcentral lists this long non-coding RNA (211 nucleotides) under Arachis ipaensis. Its description in RNAcentral is "long non-coding RNA (AIPA_LNC002419)". Lineage: Eukaryota; Viridiplantae; Streptophyta; Magnoliopsida; Fabales; Fabaceae. The record is from RNAcentral.
GUAACACCCUACCAUACAGAGACUUAUGCUUAAGUCAUAAUUCAGAGAUGGCAAGGUAUUACGACCUCUAAAACAAAAAUUUAGUACGUAUAGUAGUAUGAAUGAUUGAUUAUAACUAGGAGCCUUGUAGAAAAAAGGGAUAAACAAAAACCGCAACUCGAAAGCGCAACACUCCGAUCACUAACACAACGAGCAAAGGAUAAGCUAACGC